Molecule: ribosomal RNA, 253 nt
Filed under: uncultured bacterium
Lineage: Bacteria
Description: partial 16S ribosomal RNA
Rfam family: Bacterial small subunit ribosomal RNA
Source: RNAcentral
UACGGAGGGUGCGAGCGUUGUCCGGAAUUACUGGGCGUAAAGCGCACGUAGGCGGCUUCUUAAGUCGGUGGUGAAAUCCUGGAGCUCAACUCCAGAACUGCCUUCGAUACUGGGAAGCUCGAGUCCGGGAGAGGUGAGUGGAACUGCGAGUGUAGAGGUGAAAUUCGUAGAUAUUCGCAAGAACACCAGUGGCGAAGGCGGCUCACUGGCCCGGUACUGACGCUGAGGUGCGAAAGCGUGGGGAGCAAACAGA